AGGCAGCUACCUUUCGAGUAUGGAGUUGGAGGUGAAUCUGCAUCUUUCAUCCAUCACCAUAAGGCCGUGAGAUUUCCAGAGUGCUGAGGAGUGCAUUUUGCAUGAGAAUUAUUAGGAUUUCAUCCACUGGUUUGCAGAACAACUCGGACUAUAGUGACAGGGAUGUCCAUCAGCUAGGCCUUCAUGUCCUUUGAAAUGCAAGUAAGCUUUUCAGUUUCCCCCUUGUUGCGCUUUCUGAGAGGAUGUGAAUAUUUUCUGUCAACUUUGGUA
Long non-coding RNA from Protopterus annectens (West African lungfish), 270 nucleotides. RefSeq lists it as uncharacterized. NCBI's taxonomy places the organism in Eukaryota, Metazoa, Chordata, Ceratodontiformes, Protopteridae. The transcript has 3 exons. The record is from RefSeq and is a predicted model, not a curated record.